This is a long non-coding RNA of Equus caballus (horse), 3443 nucleotides long. The record is from Ensembl. NCBI's taxonomy places the organism in Eukaryota, Metazoa, Chordata, Mammalia, Perissodactyla, Equidae.
AACGGGGCAGUUUCAAGAUUUAUUUGGUGGGUGAGAGGACAAGGAUACAAAGCACAGAAAACUCUUGGCUCUAAAAAGUUACACUGGAGGACAGGGGGACAUGGAGGCCACUGAAUGACCUGGCCCAGACGAAAGGAAACCAGUCUUCUUGGUCCAUGACGCUCUGCGACACUGCUGGGGAAGGGCAGAGCCAGCUCUGGACAUAAGCCUCAUGUAUCCACUCACGCUGAGGGAAAAGUCCUCCUAUGUUUUGCUGAUACAACAGGGUUAGAAGGUCUGGCGAGGUGUCAUGUGGCAACAUCACUCUUCACUCUGCUACACCAGUGUCUGUGAUGAACUCCAAAAUAAUCUAAAGGAGAAAGUCAACAAGGCCAGCAGCUUAGAAUUUUCAUCUCAGAAACAAAGGCUGACUUAGCCCCUUGGCAUUAACUUACCACGAGGAGGCCUCUCCAGGAGAACUGGGACCCAGGUAAGCAUCCUGAGAGGGCCAGUGCGUCCAACCCCUUGAGGCUUCCUCCAACGAGCUCCAGAUCUACAGCAGCACCCCUAGAGUGACAAGGAGGCCACAGAGCAGGAGGUCACAAGGAGCAUUUGAUCUCCAAUGUCAUCUCCUCUUUCUUCAAGCUGUCAUCAGUGAGGAUGCCCCCAAUUAAUCUGGGAUGAGUUGCCAGUUUUGUUUUUCACACUAAACUUGACUCAAAAAAGAAUCUCAGUGCUCUCAGAGAAGAGUUAAAAGGAACAGGUCUUAAAAAAAUGGGCUUUUUCAGGGCAACACAGACAUCUGCUGUGUUGCCCUGAAACUGCCAGAGCUCCUCCCACUGAGCCCCACCACACCGUGGUGGGAGUGAAGGGCGCCACCUCAGCAGCUGGCCCUCCACACUGUCAUUACCUGCCUGCACAUCUGUCUUCCCAGGUGCCCAUGCUCACCCCGGCCUCAAAGUCGUCCUCAUGUUGCUCCCCUCCCUUGAAUACUUUCCUAUGGCCCAUCACAUCCCACCCCUUCAAGGGCCUGCCCAGGCCUACCACCUCCAAAAAGUGCUUCCCUUUGAAAAUCUUCUGGCAGUCACUAUAUACCACCUGACAUUGCACUUAUUCAUUAUGCAUAAUUCAUCCUGGCUCCUUACACCCCCUAGGGUAUCUAAACCUGACACAGACAUAGCCUGGCUCAGAUAACAGGAGGCCAAGCUGAGAAAGGCCGAGCUAAGAAGCCUCCUGUCACUGAACCUCACACAGCAGCCCACGAUGCCUGAGCGCAGAAAGCACUGGCUGGAGGGAGGUGGGAGUGUGUGAAAGCGCCAGCAUUUGAAAGGGACAGGUGUGGACCCUCCAAACACGGGAAACUGCUUUCAACAAUUCCUUUCCCUGCGUUAUCAAUGACCAGAGCACAGACAGCCCGUGAUCACUUUUGAAUGCAGGUGUGUACAAGGGCAGAGAGAGAUCUGGAAGAGGAGCAGGUGCCAGCAGCCUGUGGAAUAGGUUGAGUCUGGGAAAACAACUCAGCCAAGCACAGGACCCCAGGAAUGGCUAUUCCUUCCUGCGAAAGCCCCACAGAACCUCGCUACAAUCAAAGAGAAGUCACUUUGGGCAAAAACAUUGGGAAAAUAUUAAGGUUGGAAAGGAUAGGAAUCAUGUGGGCUUAAGUACCACAAAAGUCACCUCUAUCAUAGCUUUGUUUUUCAAAUGAAGAAAAGAAGGUUCUGAAUAUGUCACUGACUGAGAUGGCAGCAGAAGGGAUUCAAACCCAGGACGGGAGUAUCUGAUGCUUAGGUCCACCCAUUUUUCCAUUACAACAUGCUUCUGCUGACACUCCAGGGAGGGUGGGCAGAUACCCCAGAGACCUAUCAUUACCCAAAGGGGACUCCGGAGGCCCCACCCCUGCAGCAGCCGCUAAAGACAUGUAAAGGACCAAAAGUGAUCUAGGUUGCCUGGGGCUGGGGUAGCGAGUGGAUCUGGGAACUCACGGACACUAUCUUCAUCUCAACUCUCAGCUCCCCUACAUCUUCACCGAAAGCCCCUGGAAACACAAACAGGACUCUACUGGAUGCAAGGAAUCAACACACUAGAGAACAGACCCUCUAGAGAUCUUACCUCAAGGACACUGGGGUCUAGAAUGUUCCUGACAUGAUAACUCCCAUGACCACCUUGGCACACAGUGGACUCAUCUGAAACAGAAAGAAGCCAUGAAUGAGCACCUCACUUGUCCCUGCUCACAACAGGGCAUGGUCGGCAUCAGGAAAGAGCUGAGCACAGUAGUUACCAGAUAGUAAGCAGUCCACAAAUGCCUGCUGUUAUUACUUCCUAAACAGAUACAUUAUUUUCUCAUAAAAGGGAUAGUAGUUAACUCUAAAGAGUUAAAGAGGGAGACAGUGGAUGGCCUACGGCAGGGUGGGCAACACUGAUUAACGUGUAAUUAAUCAGCGAUAGGCUGAAAAGGAUGCCAAGGCCGGGUUUAUGGGAGUGUGCCAUGGCUGACUCACAGCAACCGAGCUGGGCAUGAAGCGGAACUUAAGCAACACACAUAGCCUGGUUCCCAACAGCAGGGGCAGGAAGUGAAAGCCCCAGCAAUGACACCGACACACACAUGACAGCCCUCAAGGCCCUGGAGGCCCAAGGUGUGUGUAGAAGAGAAGUAGGAAUGUGGAAAAGCUCCCAGAUCUGGAAGGGGAGGAUGUGGACCCUCCAAACAUGUGACAAUCCUCUCCACGUUUCCUCUGUCUGCACUACCAAUGAACAGGACACGGGCAGCUGUGAUCACUUCCAAAUGCAGAGGCAGAAAAGGACAGAGGGCUUGCUGAAAAAGGAGGCCAGUGGCAGAGGCCUGGAGGAGUCAGCCUAGUUGAGCACAGCACCACGUAAUUGCUUCAAUCCUGCAGAAAAAUUCCUUCAACUUGGCCCAGACAGGAGAGGAAAGGGUGGACACCUCUGAAAGAAAAGCGAUAGAGUUGUUGGGUUGUAAAAGACAGGGGCUAUGCGAUCCUAAGAAAAAUGGCCUCAUUGUAUUCCUGCUUUCUGGGUGAUGAGACCAGGGAUAAGAGAAGGUCCCAGAGCUAAGAAGGGGCAGAGAAGUGACUGAGACCCGGGCACAGGCGAAUAUGCCAAAAUCCUUCCUGCUUUAGAUUCAGCCAUUCUGAUGCCAACAGAUCAAUUUGAGGAAGGGCUCCCCAAGGGCUCUCAGAACCAAGCACAUAAAGAGGAAGCAGGUGCAUUCUCAAAGGUCACAGAGAGUAAAAUUGAGGGCCAGGACAGAGCCACCCUCCUGUCUCCUCUAUCUACUUCCCCGACGACAUCACACCCAGGGAACCUGCAUGCGCCUGUGGGAUGCAAAGCCCCAGAUUUCCAGAGAACAGACCUCACCUUGGGAGCACUGUGGUCCAGCUGCUUCCUGACAGGAUGGAGACACCUCUCAAGGGCCCCUCUGCACCGAGCUGCCCCCUCUGCAAUAA